Molecule: ribosomal RNA, 253 nt
Filed under: uncultured bacterium
Lineage: Bacteria
Description: partial 16S ribosomal RNA
Rfam family: Bacterial small subunit ribosomal RNA
Source: RNAcentral
UACGUAGGGGGUAAGCGUUGUCCGGAUUUAUUGGGCGUAAAGAGCGUGUAGGCGGCCAGACAGGUCCGUUGUGAAAACUCGAGGCUCAACCUCGAGAUGUCGAUGGAAACCGUCUGGCUAGAGUCCGGAAGAGGAGUGUGGAAUUCCUGGUGUAGCGGUGAAAUGCGCAGAUAUCAGGAAGAACACCGGUGGCGAAGGCGGUUCUCUGGGCAUUACCUGACGCUGAGGAGCGAAAGUGUGGGGAGCGAACAGG